Molecule: ribosomal RNA, 465 nt
Filed under: Vreelandella stevensii
Lineage: Bacteria; Pseudomonadati; Pseudomonadota; Gammaproteobacteria; Oceanospirillales; Halomonadaceae
Description: partial 16S ribosomal RNA
Rfam family: Bacterial small subunit ribosomal RNA
Source: RNAcentral
CCUACGGGAGGCAGCAGUGGGGAAUAUUGGACAAUGGGGGGAACCCUGAUCCAGCCAUGCCGCGUGUGUGAAGAAGGCCCUCGGGUUGUAAAGCACUUUCAGUGAGGAAGAACGCCUGGUGGUUAAUACCCAUCAGGAAAGACAUCACUCACAGAAGAAGCACCGGCUAACUCCGUGCCAGCAGCCGCGGUAAUACGGAGGGUGCGAGCGUUAAUCGGAAUUACUGGGCGUAAAGCGCGCGUAGGUGGCUUGAUAAGCCGGUUGUGAAAGCCCCGGGCUCAACCUGGGAACGGCAUCCGGAACUGUCAAGCUAGAGUGCAGGAGAGGAAGGUAGAACUCCCGGUGUAGCGGUGAAAUGCGUAGAGAUCGGGAGGAAUACCAGUGGCGAAGGCGGCCUUCUGGACUGACACUGACACUGAGGUGCGAAAGCGUGGGUAGCAAACAGGAUUAGAUACCCGAGUAGUC